RNAcentral lists this unclassified non-coding RNA (275 nucleotides) under Hevea brasiliensis (rubber tree). The record is from RNAcentral. Lineage: Eukaryota; Viridiplantae; Streptophyta; Magnoliopsida; Malpighiales; Euphorbiaceae.
UUUUGACACAGGUGACGGGAGAGAGAGAGAAAUUGCCAUGCAAAUUAAUCUUUGUAUUGCCCUGUUUCUCUCUUUCUUUAUCAGAGGAAAGAUCCACUUCUGUAUAAUACCUCUCAAAUCGUCCGCACACACCAUUCUUCGACUUAAUCACUAUACAGUAUAAACCAACCCAACUUCGAUUUCAUCCAGUGUCUUUCCCUCUUUUUGCCAUUUUGGGUGUCCAGGUUUUAGGCUUCUGAGUGUAAUCUUGAAGAAGAAACAGGAGAGAGAGAGAG